Molecule: long non-coding RNA, 263 nt
Filed under: Elaeis guineensis (African oil palm)
Lineage: Eukaryota; Viridiplantae; Streptophyta; Magnoliopsida; Arecales; Arecaceae
Description: long non-coding RNA (EGUI_LNC053015)
Source: RNAcentral
UGGAAUAAUUUUUGUGCGACAAAAACUUUAAUAAAAGGUGGGCAUGCGCUAAAAUAUUGGCGUGAGAGAUCUCACGCGAUUUCUCUUUGGCGCACAAUUUUUUUUCCUUCCUUUUUCCAUGCCAUAGUUUCUUAUUUUGAUAAGAUCUGAUCUUAUCUCUUUUGGGGCAUGAGGGAUUUCUUGGUAUGCGACAAAAAUUAAGAGAAAAAAAAGGGUGGCGUGCGCUAAGGUAAAAGGGCCUUCUUUCUUAUCGCAUAGCCUUC